UUCAGGCAGAUUGUUUGUGUUGUAUUCUUGCCAUUUGUUUUCCGCAUGUUGCUAGUUUGUAGCCAUAGACUCACCUCGAUAAUAUCUUCUGAACAGCUAUGUUGGUAUCAAACAAGUAGUAUUUGGUGAAUCUGAAUUUGAGAACUGGAAGGAGAACUUGACAUCGGAGGAUGCCGGUUACAGUGUUCACAAGAUAUAGAUGUCAGUUGACUCUGAAAGCUCCUUAUGAGAAGAUGAAACAAAGAUAUUGAAGGUAAAGAAAGGUUGUAAGCACAAAAACAACUACAGAGAGCAGGCUUUUACCACUCAGGCUUUCAAGCUGCUAAUACUGGUGCUAUUCGAGGAUUUUC
RNAcentral lists this long non-coding RNA (350 nucleotides) under Nicotiana benthamiana. RNAcentral describes it as "long non-coding RNA (NBEN_LNC001986)". The record is from RNAcentral. Lineage: Eukaryota; Viridiplantae; Streptophyta; Magnoliopsida; Solanales; Solanaceae.